Molecule: long non-coding RNA, 191 nt
Organism: Sinocyclocheilus grahami
Lineage: Eukaryota; Metazoa; Chordata; Actinopteri; Cypriniformes; Cyprinidae
Exons: 3
Source: RefSeq, a predicted model, not a curated record
GGGGCAAACAGUAUCCGAGUAGGGCAAGACGAGAGGGGGAAUCUGAGAUACACAGGCCAAGAUCAGGACACGAGAAAACAGACAAGGCAAGACUAAGAUAAGGCUAUGGAAAAACUAGACAGGCUCCGUACAGUAGCUAUCGCUAUGAGAGUGAUAAAAGCUAUACAAUACUCGGCAUUUUAAAAGGGGAG